Molecule: long non-coding RNA, 416 nt
Organism: Corvus hawaiiensis (hawaiian crow)
Lineage: Eukaryota; Metazoa; Chordata; Aves; Passeriformes; Corvidae
Exons: 2
Source: RefSeq, a predicted model, not a curated record
AGGCGCGGCGGGAGCGGCGCGCGCUCGGGAAUGGAACGCGAGUCGGGACAGCGGCGGCACCGCCCCGAGCAGCGAGCUCUGCCUCCCACCCACGGGUGUCACUUCGAGUAGCAGGACACGAGAUGAAGCUCCUUCAGAACCAAGACUGCUCUAUUAUAAGAACCUUCUGUGAUGCAAUGGAAGAACUUCCAAGGCUUUUCCAUUCAUAUUACCAUUGAUCUCUCGAGAGUGAACUUUCUGGUGCUAUUGGAGGAUGGCAGCUGUUGGAACCAGACGGCAAACAAGGCAGUUCUUCCCAGAAGAGAGCAAUUAUACAUCUCUGCACAGCUGGUCAAACACCACACCUCUGCACCAGCAAUGUGGAGCACAGGGCACUGACCUUGCAUUACUGGGCAAUAAACAGAGCUCAGGAAGUA